RNAcentral lists this ribosomal RNA (254 nucleotides) under uncultured bacterium. Its description in RNAcentral is "partial 16S ribosomal RNA". It matches the Rfam family "Bacterial small subunit ribosomal RNA", at positions 524 to 776 of the family's 1533-position model. The record is from RNAcentral.
UACGUAGGGUGCAAGCGUUGUCCGGAAUUAUUGGGCGUAAAGAGCUCGUAGGUGGCGGGUCACGUCGGGUGUGAAAGCCCGGGGCUUAACCCCGGGUCUGCAUUCGAUACGGGCUUGCUAGGGUCCGGCAGGGGAGACUGGAAUUCCUGGUGUAGCGGUGAAAUGCGUAGAUAUCAGGAGGAACACCGGUGGUGUAGACGGCUUUCUGGACCGUAACUGACGCUGAGAACACGAAAGCGUGGGUAGCAAACAGG